CGCCCUUCCUACGGGAGGCAGCAGUAGGGAAUAUUGGUCAAUGGGUGAGAGCCUGAACCAGCCAUGCCGCGUGCAGGAAGACGGCCUUCUGGGUUGUAAACUGCUUUUAUCUGGGGAUAAAAUGANCCGUGCGCGGUAAUGAAG
Molecule: ribosomal RNA, 144 nt
Filed under: uncultured bacterium
Lineage: Bacteria
Description: partial 16S ribosomal RNA
Rfam family: Bacterial small subunit ribosomal RNA
Source: RNAcentral